GAUGAACGCUGGCGGCGUGCUUAACACAUGCAAGUCGAGCGAUGAAGUUUCCUUCGGGAAACGGAUUAGCGGCGGACGGGUGAGUAACACGUGGGUAACCUGCCUCAUAGAGUGGAAUAGCCUUCCGAAAGGAAGAUUAAUACCGCAUAACGUUGAAAGAUGGCAUCAUCAUUCAACCAAAGGAGCAAUCCGCUAUGAGAUGGACCCGCGGCGCAUUAGCUAGUUGGUGGGGUAACGGCCUACCAAGGCGACGAUGCGUAGCCGACCUGAGAGGGUGAUCGGCCACAUUGGGACUGAGACACGGUCCAGACUCCUACGGGAGGCAGCAGUGGGGAAUAUUGCACAAUGGGGGAAACCCUGAUGCAGCAACGCCGCGUGAGUGAUGAAGGUUUUCGGAUCGUAAAGCUCUGUCUUUGGGGAAGAUAAUGACGGUACCCAAGGAGGAAGCCACGGCUAACUACGUGCCAGCAGCCGCGGUAAUACGUAGGUGGCGAGCGUUAUCCGGAUUUACUGGGCGUAAAGGGAGCGUAGGCGGAUGAUUAAGUGGGAUGUGAAAUACCCGGGCUCAACUUGGGUGCUGCAUUCCAAACUGGUUAUCUAGAGUGCAGGAGAGGAGAGUGGAAUUCCUAGUGUAGCGGUGAAAUGCGUAGAGAUUAGGAAGAACACCAGUGGCGAAGGCGACUCUCUGGACUGUAACUGACGCUGAGGCUCGAAAGCGUGGGGAGCAAACAGG
Molecule: ribosomal RNA, 733 nt
Filed under: uncultured bacterium
Lineage: Bacteria
Description: bacterial SSU rRNA
Rfam family: Bacterial small subunit ribosomal RNA
Source: RNAcentral